GUUUGCCUGACCAAAAAUAGCUAACCAAGUCCAUAUGUUGACUAUAUGGUUUAUCUAAAACAGUAUCAUCAAUACUGACUAUAAGUUUAUUAUUAUCAAUAUGUUGAAUUGAUUCUUGAUAUAGGUCGUGAGGUGUGUAGUCUUCACGCUCUAGAAAGCGAUUUACACUAUCAUGCGAGAUAUUAUAAGUCUCGGCAAGUUGUGUGCAGCUAAUAGAGUUCGGUUCUGUCAUGAGAAAGCCCAUAUAAAUGGGUAAUGUACAAGUUGCUGUAGAAGCAUGUUUAAUUCGUCUAAUCACAGAUACUUUAUAAAGUAUUUUAAUACUUUUUUGAAUCCGUCAAUGCGUAAGUCCUAUAAAGAUUAAAUAUGUGUUUUAUAUAAGAUGCAGAUUCAAAUAAUGGUUAAUUAAGCUUUAUACAAUUCAGUGGUUGGAGUCACAUUUUCUGUAAAUAAAUUUGGGUGAUACGUAUUCAGUUUCGUAAUAUAAAUAGUUGUAAUUAAAAAGUAUUUCUCCGAAGAUUGCUUUCCAUGUCUUUUCAUUUGUGCCCUCAACACCUUGAAUAUCCAUUGGAUAAUCAACUUCAUGAGUGGUUAAUAUAAUAUUUGUAUUUGGUGCAAUGAUGAGAUGCUUUUCAUUUCUUAGAGGGAUGAAAUCUUUCAUCGAAAGCGGUUUACAUUCACGUUCUGUAGCACUAUAUACAGUUAGUACAUAAUUAUUUGAUAAAUCACGUUGAACGCGAAAAAACAAAUCUAAAAUUUCAGAUUGAUACUUAUCAUGAAAUUUAUCAAUCAUUACUGAAAUUUGUUGUGUAAGCCCUUGCUCAAUAAAUGAUUUAUCACGUGAAUCACAUUUAUUCAUAUCGAAUACAUAUGUAAAAAUAUUAAGGUUAAAUCGUUGCUGGGUUUUGAAGAGCUUUUUCAUUACUCGUGCAUUUUCUUUUUUUAAUUCAUUAAUAAGUUCUAAGCGUUGGAGUCUGUCAGCCAUUGCUAUUCGAGUCGUUGAAUCUCUUUUUAAUUCAUUCACGAAAGAAUUUACUGUAGGCAAAAUAUCAUUGAUAUAUUGUUCAUUAUGCAAAUAUAAAUGAUUGAUUGGCCUAUCUAAUUCAUAUCCUAAUUUUGAAUAAGCUUUGUGUAAUGCUUUUACACUUUGACUAAGUUUGAAAAAUUUAUGUUCGAGUAGCAUUGGACUUAUGCCGGGAAAAUUUUGUAAACGUUCAAAUACGUGAUCGGUUUGAGGGGAGUUACUGACAUAGUAUUUACCCUUCUUACUGGAUUUUAAUUUGAAUGCACUAUAACUUGGAUUUGUGAUGAUUGAUGAUAUCUCUUGCAUAAUCGAAAGAUUAUGUUUAUUAACACAGAAAUGUAUUUGAUCGGGGGUAUGUAUCAAA
Molecule: ribosomal RNA, 1388 nt
Filed under: Acinetobacter sp. 25977_4
Lineage: Bacteria; Pseudomonadati; Pseudomonadota; Gammaproteobacteria; Moraxellales; Moraxellaceae
Description: partial 16S ribosomal RNA
Source: RNAcentral